CCUACGGGUGGCAGCAGUGGGGAAUAUUGCACAAUGGGGGGAACCCUUAUGCAGCGACGCCGCGUGAGUGCAGAAGUAUCUCGGUACGUAAAGCUCUAUCAGCAGGGAAGAAAAUGACGGUACCUGACUAAGAAGCCCCGGCUAACUACGUGCCAGCAGCCGCGGGAAUACGGAGGGGGGAAGCGUUAUCCGGAUUUACUGGGUGUAAAGGGAGCGUAGACGGCACUGCAAGUCCGGAGUGAAAGCCCAAGGCUUAACCAUGGGACUGCUCUGGAAACUGUGGAACUUGAGUGCGGGAGGGGCAGGCGGAAUUCCUAGUGUAGCGGUGAAAUGCGUAGAUAUUAGGAGGAACACCGGCGGCGAAGGCGGCCUGCUGGACCGUAACUGACGUUGAGGCUCGAAAGCGUGGGGAGCAAACAGGAUUAGAUACCCGAGUAGUC
RNAcentral lists this ribosomal RNA (440 nucleotides) under uncultured bacterium. Its description in RNAcentral is "partial 16S ribosomal RNA". It matches the Rfam family "Bacterial small subunit ribosomal RNA", at positions 338 to 795 of the family's 1533-position model. The record is from RNAcentral.